This 497-nucleotide ribosomal RNA is filed under the name uncultured bacterium. Its description in RNAcentral is "partial 16S ribosomal RNA". It matches the Rfam family "Bacterial small subunit ribosomal RNA", at positions 28 to 507 of the family's 1533-position model. The record is from RNAcentral.
GAUGAACGCUGGCGGCGUGCCUAAUACAUGCAAGUCGAGCGAACGGACGAGAAGCUUGCUUCUCUGAUGUUAGCGGCGGACGGGUGAGUAACACGUGGAUAACCUACCUAUAAGACUGGGAUAACUUCGGGAAACCGGAGCUAAUACCGGAUAAUAUUUUGAACCGCAUGGUUCAAAAGUGAAAGACGGUCUUGCUGUCACUUAUAGAUGGAUCCGCGCUGCAUUAGCUAGUUGGUAAGGUAACGGCUUACCAAGGCAACGAUGCAUAGCCGACCUGAGAGGGUGAUCGGCCACACUGGAACUGAGACACGGUCCAGACUACUACGGGAGGCAGCAGUAGGGAAUCUUCCGCAAUGGGCGAAAGCCUGACGGAGCAACGCCGAGUGAGUGAUGAAGGUCUUCGGAUCGUAAAACUCUGUUAUUAGGGAAGAACAUAUGUGUAAGUAACUGUGCACAUCUUGACGGUACCUAAUCAGAAAGCCACGGCUAACUACGUG